GAGUUUGAUCAUGGCUCAGGGCAAACGCUGGCGGCGUGCUUCAGGCAUGCAAGUCGAGCGCUCGGCCGGGUGACCUUCGGGUCACUCGGACCCGGGAGCGGCGAACGGGUGCGUGACACGUGGGCAACCUGCCUGUGGUUCGGGGAUACCCCGGGGAAACCCGGGACAAUACCGGAUACGCCCUUUCCGGCGCCUGCCGGGGAGGGGAAAGCCUUCGGGCGACCGCGGAGGGGCCUGCGGCCUAUCAGCUCGUUGGUGGGGUAACGGCCUACCAAGGCGACGACGGGGAGCCGACCUGAGAGGGUGGUCGGCCACACUGGGACUGAGACACGGCCCAGACUCCUACGGGAGGCAGCAGCCGGGAAUCUUGCGCAAUGGCCGCAAGGCUGACGCAGCGACGCCGCGUGGAGGAUGACGGCCUUCGGGUUGUAAACUCCGGUGGAGCGGGAAGAGAACGGACGGUACCGCUCUGGAAAGCCCCGGCGAACUCCGUGCCAGCAGCCGCGGUAAGACGGAGG
RNAcentral lists this ribosomal RNA (518 nucleotides) under uncultured bacterium. RNAcentral describes it as "bacterial SSU rRNA". It matches the Rfam family "Bacterial small subunit ribosomal RNA", at positions 9 to 531 of the family's 1533-position model. The record is from RNAcentral.